GACGAACGCUGGCGGCGUGCUUAACACAUGCAAGUCGAGCGAAGCGGCUCUGCUGGGGGGGUGUGCUAGCGGGGAAAGGGGGAGUGAAACGCGGGAAUAACCCCCCCAUCUCUGGGAGAACUCCGCGAAAAACGGGGGAAAACACGGGAUGGCAUCUCCUGGCGCCUGGGGGGGGGGGGAGAGUUUCGGCGGGUGGGGAUGGACUCGCGGCUUAUCAGCUUGUUGGUGGGGUAGUGGCUUACCAAGGCUUCGGCGGGUAGCCGGCCUGAGAGGGCGACCGGCCACACUGGGACUGAGACACGGCCCAGACUCCUACGGGAGGCAGCAGUGGGGAAUAUUGCGCAAUGGGCGGAAGCCUGACGCAGCAACGCCGCGUGCGGGAUGACGGCCUUCGGGUUGUAAACCUCUUUCGCCUGUGACGAAGCGAGAGUGACGGUACCUGGUGAAGAAGCACCGGCUAACUACGUG
RNAcentral lists this ribosomal RNA (468 nucleotides) under uncultured bacterium. Its description in RNAcentral is "partial 16S ribosomal RNA". It matches the Rfam family "Bacterial small subunit ribosomal RNA", at positions 28 to 507 of the family's 1533-position model. The record is from RNAcentral.